CAAGGCGACGAUCUGUAGCGGGUCUGAGAGGAUGAUCCGCCACACUGGAACUGAGACACGGUCCAGACUCCUACGGGAGGCAGCAGUGGGGAAUUUUGGACAAUGGGGGCAACCCUGAUCCAGCCAUGCCGCGUGAGUGAAGAAGGCCUUCGGGUUGUAAAGCUCUUUCAGCCGGGAAGAAAUCGUACAGGCUAAUACCCUGUGCGGAUGACGGUACCGGAAUAAGAAGCACCGGCUAACUACGUGCCAGCAGCCGCGGUAAUACGUAGGGUGCGAGCGUUAAUCGGAAUUACUGGGCGUAAAGCGUGCGCAGGCGGUUUUGUAAGACAGGCGUGAAAUCCCCGGGCUUAACCUGGGAACU
Molecule: ribosomal RNA, 361 nt
Filed under: uncultured beta proteobacterium
Lineage: Bacteria; Pseudomonadati; Pseudomonadota; Betaproteobacteria
Description: bacterial SSU rRNA
Rfam family: Bacterial small subunit ribosomal RNA
Source: RNAcentral